RNAcentral lists this ribosomal RNA (484 nucleotides) under uncultured bacterium. RNAcentral's name for it is "partial 16S ribosomal RNA". It matches the Rfam family "Bacterial small subunit ribosomal RNA", at positions 30 to 507 of the family's 1533-position model. The record is from RNAcentral.
AUCGAACGCUGGCGGCAGGCCUAACACAUGCAAGUCGAGCGGAUGAAGGGAGCUUGCUCCUGGAUUCAGCGGCGGACGGGUGAGUAAUGCCUAUGAAUCUGCCUGGUAGUGGUGGAUAACGUCCGGAAACGGGCGCUAAUACCGCAGACGUCCUGAUGGAGCAGGUGGGGGAUCUUCGGACCGCACGCUAUGAGAUGAGCCUAGGUCGGAUUAGCUAGUUGGUUGGGUAAGGGCCUACCUAGGCGACGAUCCGUAGCUGGUCUGUGAGGAUGAUCACUCACACUGGAACUGGGACACGGUCAAGACUCCUACGGGAGGCCGCAGUGGGGAAUGUUGGACAAUGGGCGAAAACCUGAUACAGCCGUGCCGCGUGUGUGAAGAAGGUCUUCGGAUUGUAAAGCACUUUAAGUUGGGAGGAAGGGCAGUAAGUUAAUACCUAGCUGUUUUGACGUUACCAACAGAAUAAGCACCGGCUAACUACGUG